UUUCACAGAAAAGCACCGAGACAGGAAUUACGUCAGCAUUAAACCCACUCUUUUUCCCAGAGGAAUUUACCCUUUCCCGAAAGCCAAAUUGUGCUGCGCAGACUCAAAUUUGGGAUUCCUCUCCGGGUCCUUUCGUGGUCGCCAAAAUGAUUCCGGCAGGCCGGGCCCCAGGACCCAGAGGGGGGUCCCACAGUAACAGCUCAGAGGGUCCUUGGCUUCGCACAGGAUGGAAAUCAAACAUGUGUCAGCAGGAGGAGAAAGCAGCGUUUAUUGGAGAGAGAGAGUGCAGAUAGCAGAUGGAAGAGAGAGAGAACGAGAGCACAAGCACGGGGAGCAGCAGGCAGAGGGAGAAGGAGAAGCAGGGGAUGACCAUCCGUCCUCUUGUUGACUUAUUAAAUAUGACAAGAAGAGAGACCUCUCCAACUGUGAGUGAACAAAUUCUCAUUUGGGUGAACUGUGGAGACUCCAGGCCCUGAGGUCAACCCAGUCCAUUCCAAAGAAUGUCUUUGAGCUGAGAUAUCAAUCUUCUCCUGCCUUCAGACUCUGACUUGAACUGGAACUUGCACCUUCAACUCUCCUGGUUCUCAGUCCUUUAGACUCAGACUAGAAGUAUACCAUCAAUCUUCCUGGGUCGCCAUCUGCAGAUCUUGGGAAUUCUCAGCUGCCAUAAUGGCAUAAGCCAAUUCCUUAAAAUAAGUCAAUCAUAUACAUAUACAUAUAAGCAUACAUAUAUAGGCAUCCCUCACUUUACUGUGCUUUGCAGAUACUGUGAUUUUUAAAAAUUGUUUGUGGCACCACUGCAUUGAGUAAGACUACCAGUGCCGUUUUUCCAAUGGCAUUUUCUCACUUGUGUCUCUGUCACAUUUGGUAAUCUUCAUUAUAUUUCAAAUAUUUGCAUUAUUAUUAUAUUUUUAUUGUGAUCUAUGAUCAGUUAUCUCUGAUGUUACCAUUGUAAUUGUUUUGUGGGGUCAUGAACCAUGCCCAUAUAACAUGACAAACUUAAUAAAUACUGUGUGUGUUCUGACUACUCCACCAACUGGUCAUUCCUCCAUCUCUCUCCCCCUUCUUGGGCCUCCUUAUUCCCUGAGACACAACAGUACUAAAAUUAGGCCCAUUAGUAAUCCUAUAAUAGCCUCUUAGUGUUCAAGUGAAAGGAAGAGUCAAACAUCUUUCACUUUAAAUCAAAAGCUAGAAAUGAUUAAGCUUAGUGAGGAAGGCAGGUCAAAAGCUGAAAUAAGUCAAAAAGUAGACAUCUUGCACCAAACUGUUAGUAAAGUUGUAUAUGCAAAGGAAAAGCUUUUGAAGGAAAUUAAAAGUGCCACUCCAGUGAACACAAAAAUGAUAAAGUGAAACAGGCUAUUGUUAAUAUAGACAAAGUUUUAGUGCUCGUGAUAGAAGAUCAAACCACCUACAACAUUCCCUUAAACCAAAGCCUAAUCUAGAGCAAGGCCCUAACUCUCACUUCUAUGAAAGCUGAAAGAGGUGUGGAAGCUGCAGAAUAAAAGGUUUGAAUCUAAGAGAGGUUAGUUCAUGAAGUUUAAGAUAAGAAGCCAUCUCCAUAACAAAGAAGUACAAGGUGAAGCAGGAAGUGCUGAUGUAUAAGCUGAAGCAAGUUUUGCAGAAGAUCUAGGUAACAUAAUGAAUGAAGGUGGCUACACUAAGUAACAGAUUUUCAAUGUAAAUGAAACAAUCUUCUAUUGGAAAAAGAUUCCAUCUAAGACUUUUGUAGCUGGAAAGGAGAAGUCAAUGUCUAGCUUCCAAGCUUCAAAGGACAGACUGACUUGUUAGAGGUUAUUGUAGCUGGUGACUUUAAGUUGAAGUCAAUGCUCUUUUAUCAUUCCAAAGGUUCUAGGGACUUUAGGAAUUAUGCUAAAUCUACUAUU
Mirounga angustirostris (Northern elephant seal) is the source of this 1883-nucleotide long non-coding RNA. RefSeq lists it as uncharacterized. The transcript has 5 exons. NCBI's taxonomy places the organism in Eukaryota, Metazoa, Chordata, Mammalia, Carnivora, Phocidae. The record is from RefSeq and is a predicted model, not a curated record.